UACGAAGGGGGCUAGCGUUGCUCGGAAUCACUGGGCGUAAAGGGUGCGUAGGCGGGUCUUUAAGUCAGGGGUGAAAUCCUGGAGCUCAACUCCAGAACUGCCUUUGAUACUGAAGAUCUUGAGUUCGGGAGAGGUGAGUGGAACUGCGAGUGUAGAGGUGAAAUUCGUAGAUAUUCGCAAGAACACCAGUGGCGAAGGCGGGUCUCUGGGCCGAUACUGACGCUGAGGAGCGAAAGCGUGGGGAGCGAACAGG
This 253-nucleotide ribosomal RNA is filed under the name uncultured bacterium. RNAcentral's name for it is "partial 16S ribosomal RNA". It matches the Rfam family "Bacterial small subunit ribosomal RNA", at positions 524 to 776 of the family's 1533-position model. The record is from RNAcentral.